RNAcentral lists this ribosomal RNA (465 nucleotides) under Vreelandella stevensii. RNAcentral's name for it is "partial 16S ribosomal RNA". It matches the Rfam family "Bacterial small subunit ribosomal RNA", at positions 338 to 795 of the family's 1533-position model. The record is from RNAcentral. Lineage: Bacteria; Pseudomonadati; Pseudomonadota; Gammaproteobacteria; Oceanospirillales; Halomonadaceae.
CCUACGGGCGGCAGCAGUGGGGAAUAUUUGACAAUGGGCGAAAGCCUGAUCCAGCCAUGCCGCGUGUGUGAAGAAGGCCUUCGGGUUGUAAAGCACUUUCAGUGGGGAAGAAAGCCUUGGGGCUAAUACCCUCGAGGAAGGACAUCACCCACAGAAGAAGCACCGGCUAACUCCGUGCCAGCAGCCGCGGUAAUACGGAGGGUGCGAGCGUUAAUCGGAAUUACUGGGCGUAAAGCGCGCGUAGGCGGUCUGAUAAGCCGGUUGUGAAAGCCCCGGGCUCAACCUGGGAACGGCAUCCGGAACUGUCAGGCUAGAGUGCAGGAGAGGAAGGUAGAAUUCCCGGUGUAGCGGUGAAAUGCGUAGAGAUCGGGAGGAAUACCAGUGGCGAAGGCGGCCUUCUGGACUGACACUGACGCUGAGGUGCGAAAGCGUGGGUAGCAAACAGGAUUAGAUACCCCUGUAGUC